Molecule: ribosomal RNA, 384 nt
Filed under: uncultured bacterium
Lineage: Bacteria
Description: bacterial SSU rRNA
Rfam family: Bacterial small subunit ribosomal RNA
Source: RNAcentral
GAUGAACGCUAGCGGCGUGCUUAACACAUGCAAGUCGAACGGAAAAGAGUAAUAUCUUUUAGUGGCGGACGGGUGAGUAAUGUGUGAGAAUUUGCCCUUAUGGCAGAGGAUAACAAUUAGAAAUAAUUGCUAAAACUCUAUAUGUUGUUAAUUUUAAAGAAUUAACAAUGAAAAAAGAAAUUUGCCUAAGGAGAAGCUCACAUUUGAUUAGCUAGUUGGUAAGGUAAAAGCUUACCAAGGCGACGAUCAAUAGCUGGUCUGAGAGGAUGAUCAGCCACACUGGAACUGAGACACGGGUCCAGACUUCUACGGAAGGCAGCAGUGAGGAAUAUUCCGCAAUGGGCGAAAGCCUGACGGAGCAACGCCGCGUGAGGGAUGACGGCC